Long non-coding RNA from Pan troglodytes (chimpanzee), 7585 nucleotides. RefSeq lists it as uncharacterized. The transcript has 4 exons. NCBI's taxonomy places the organism in Eukaryota, Metazoa, Chordata, Mammalia, Primates, Hominidae. The record is from RefSeq and is a predicted model, not a curated record.
CUUCUUAGACAGGCAGAUGGACUUCACAACAUAUGCGUGUCCUGCCCAAGCUUAUACUACACUGGUAAUCCUCAUAAAGUAAAAAUACCUCUUAGUCUCCAGAGAAAUCUCUUCAAGUUGGGAUUCUGGUGGGAUAUUAGGUCUAGGGGUAAGAUGAAAGAAAGCAUUUCAGAUUUGCCUUUUCUUUUUUCUUUUUUUUUUUUUUUGAGACAGAGUCUUGCUUUGUCACCAGACUGGAGUGCAAUAUUGCGAUCUUGGCUCACUGCAACCUCCAACUCCCAGGUUCAAGCGAUUCUCCUGUCUCAGCCUCCCGAGUAGCUGGGAUUACAGGCACAUGCCACCACGCCCAGCUAAUUUUUGUAUUACUAGUAGAGACGGAGUUUCACCAUGAUGGCCAGGAUGGUCUCGAUCUCCUGACCUUGUGAUCCGCCCACCCAUGCCUUCCAAAGUGCUAGGAUUACAGGCGUGAGCCACCACACCCGGCCCAUAUUCGCCUUUUCUAAAUACACAUGCCCAUGCCCCAUCACAGACCUAUCAUCUUUUUUUUUUUUUAGAGUUGGGGUCUGAUUCCGUUGCCCAGGCUGGAGUGCAGAGGCAUGCUCACGGCUCACUGCAAUCUUUAACUCCUGGGUUCAAGCAAUCCUCUACCUCUGCCUCCUGAAUAGCUGGGAUUGUGGGAUUGCAGGCAUGUGUCACUACUCUUGGCUAACUUAAAAAAAAAAUUUUUUUUUAGAGAUGGGUGUCUCUUUAUGUUGCCUAGGCUGGUCUCAAACUCCUGUCUUCAAGUGAUCCUCUCAGAGCCUCAGCCUCCCAAGUCGCUGGAAUUACACAUGUGAGCCACCAGACCCAGCUCACAGACCUAAAUAAUCUUAAUUUCCAGGAGGGUAGAAAUGGAAAAUGGGGGAGGAAAGCCAGAAUGUGUAAAAGCACCUCAGAUGAUCUGGCCAAUCUUUCCCUCUUUUUAAAAACCCCGUUGAAAAUAACUAUCUUAAAAGUAUAUGCUCUGUUUCAAUUACCAAGAGGCAGCUGUAAUGAAGAUAGUGACAAUACCAUUAACAAUGUGCUAGACACUGAUCUAAGGGAAUUCAUAUCAAUGAAUUCAUUUAAUUCUCACAACAUCCAACAAGGGAGGUAUUAAUUAUUAUUAUCCCCAUUUUAUGAGAUGGGAAUAGGCAAAGUUAAGGUUAAGAAUCAUUACAAAGCUAGCUUGUGGUAGAGCCAGGGUUCAAAACCUAGGAAGUGUAGCUUCAGUCUAUAGGAACAGAUGUGAAUCACAGCAAGCAAAAAAGGUGAGGCGUAUGAGCUCACAUCAACAUUUUCAUGCCCAAAGUUUCUCAUUUAUCUUGUCCCUUGGAGACCUAAAGUGUGGUUCUAUUUUUUAGAGCUCAUUCACUGCUGCACUUCUGAUCACUGAAUUGCCCUUGCCCUUUGAAUUAUUCAGUGUUUCUGGAGAAAUAGUUCUGAAAAAAUAUGCUCUAUUAUUUCUUUCUUUCCUCCUUCAGUUCCUCCCCUGCCAUGAAACCAGAUUCUGUUGAUACACAGAGAACUGUGCAGAAGUCUUCCACUAGAAGAGUGCGCAAAAGUGGGCUGAAAUUUCAUGAGGUCCAGUUCUUCUUGAGUAUGUUCCUAACAGGUGCCACUUUCCAUUUAGACUUGUCUGUAAAAUUAGCCUAUGAAUACUGGCUUGCCUCUGCAAUCACAUGCCUAGGUGGGGAGGUGGUGAAGGAGACAGGUGUGUAUACAUUCUUUUCUUUAAAGAAGGCUUGUUUUCAGUUGAAAAUGUGGAAAUUAAGACUUUCUUGCCUUCAAGAAUUAUGAUGUUGUGGGAGGAAAAAAAAAUCCUAAGGGUUAAGGGCCAGUUCUGCCACUUUGUUAAGUGUCUUCAACUAAGUCACUUAACUUUCUGAACCUCAGUCUCCUCACCUGUAAAAUGGCACCAUAAAUUUUUGCCCCACUUAUUUCACAAGGUUGUUGUGCUGAUCCAAGAAAGAACUCAGAUCUUCUGGUUUCAUGCCCAUGGUGUCCAUUUCAUCCAUCUAUCAGUUUUUCAUUUCUUUAUUCAUUCAUGCAACAUGUAUUAUAUCUCCCAAGGGUUAGCUAAGUGAAAAAUGUAUGCAUGUUGGGAGGUUGGGGGAAGAAAGGGAGAGAAGCACCCCAGAUUGGGAAAGGGCACUGAAGGUAGAGAAAAUGAGGUGUUUAAGACAGUGGUGUGAGCAAGGACCUACAGCAGCCCAUGACUCCACAUUCUAAUAUUUUUCAUGGUAUUCCAAUUCCUCUGUGGCCAUUAAUUCUUAAAGUUUCGAGUCAAAACCAUCUUAACCUCAUCCAAGCUGGGUUCCUUAGCUAAUACCUUCUUCUACAUCUUCUCUCCAGGCCCCCAUGGCUCCCUCUAUCUAAAGUACAGGUGGUGAGCAGAAGUAGUCAAGGCUUAUAAGCCAGGCUGCUCCUCAAAUGCAGCCAUAAGAAAAGAAAUCGGUGGGGUGUUUUAAAUGCAUGCCUGAUAUAAAGAUAAACCUCGGGUAUCAUAUAUCAGGGGAUCCCAACCCUCAGGCCACCCACUGGUACCAGUCCAUGGCCUAUUAGGAACUGAGCCGCACAGCAGGUGAGCAGCAGGCAAACAAGCGAAGCUUCAUCUGUAUUUACAGCCACUCCCCAUUGUUUGCAUUGCCGCCUGAGCUCUGCCUCCCAUCAGAUCAGCAGCAGCGUUAGAUGCUCAUAGGAGUGCAAACCCUAUUGUGAACUGCACCUGCCAGGGAUCUAGGUUGGAUGCUCCUUAGGAGAAUAUAAUGCCUGAUGAUCUCUCACUGCUUCCCAUCACCCCCAGUUGGGACCGUGUAGCUGCAGGAAAACAAGCUCAGGGCUCCCACUGAUUCUUCAUUAUGGUGCGCUGUAUAUUUCACUAUAUAUUGCAAUGUAAUAAUAAUAAGGCACAAUAAAUCUAAUGUGCUUGAAUCAUCCCAAAAGCGUUCUCCCCACCUCCACCCUGGUCUGUGGAAAAACUGUCUUCCAUAAAACCAGUCCCUGGUGCCAAAAAGGUUGGAGACCACUGUCUUAUAUGAUAUAUAAAGUGCAAGUUCUAUGUGUCCCAGAAAAGGAUUUUAAAGGUAAUUCAUGGUGUGUAUCAUGGCGUCUAUCUUGUUACACAUUAGUAAUACUUUGAAUGUGUAAAGUGCUUCUCCCUGUUCUGUUGGAUUUAUCUUUGAAGUAGCUCAUAAAGGUAAAGUUAUCAGUAUAGAAAACAUUCCUUCACUGGCCCUAUUUCAUAAAUUAAGGAACAAAGACUGGAUGCAACAUGUGGCAGAUUAUGCGAAAAAUCUAGUAGCUGAGCAAACGUAAGAAUUCAGGUUCCCUGGAUUCCAGGACAGAGUUGACUUCCCCAUCUGAAGUGAUACAUGAGCACAAUAGGUUUUCAUCGUCAUUCAGAUUAUAAUGGUUCCUUUUACUCUGAUAAUAUUGCUGAUAUUUCUAGAAAUAGCUUGUUCAUCCAUUUAUUAAUCUCAUAAACCCCUGACUGGGGGAAAGGGAGUGGAAAGUGGUCAGAAAUGGGGCUGGAACAGUAAUCAGGAAGCCGGAACCUCCAUUGCCUCAAGAGCUAAGUUCAAUGUCAGGCCUUUGUCUCGAGGGCAACGGGGAACUCUGUAAAGGUAUUUAAGUUGGGGAAUGUAGUGAUCAGCAGCAUUUGGCAGCAAUCACCCUGGGCUGGAGUGGGCCUGACAGGAAUGGGCAAAUCUUGGGGCAGGAAAUCCAGUCAGAAGAUUAUGACCAUAAAGCAGGUGAGAGAUGUUGGUGUCCCAAGGGCAAAGGGGGAUCCCAUCAAGACAUGAGAACCGCCACGUCGUUCUUUCCCCAAUCCCACUGUUUCUAGAUUUUUCCUUCUAGGAGGCCUGCAAAUGUGUUUCCGGGAGGAAAAUCCGUCCCUGCUAUUUCUCCAGCCUUCCCUUGUUACCGGUUCGGCCCUGCCCCUUUAACAUUCAGGAAUGAGAGUGGAAGCAGAAGGCCCAGGUCCCCGGAGGUCCCGACGCCCGGAUUCCACAGCCUGUGAGGGUCCCUUGCGCAGAGCGGGACGAGGCCACUGGCACUACGUAGUGACUUCACCAACAGCCUGCAGUACUCGUUAACGAGAUUUCGCCAGGCCCCUUGGACUAACGCCAGGAUUCUCGGUGCCCGCAGUCAGCGCUCUGGGAUUAGACAACGCACCACAGGCCGCGGCUCUCUGCUGACCCUCAGCAGCGAUAAGACCGGCGCGGACAAGCCAGCAGCCGCUAGCUCUCCCACAAGGCCGAGCGCGGCCAAAGGGCAGCCCCGCCCGCUCCGCCUCCCCCAGCUCUAUUGGCUAGUGCGCCUGCCACUCAGCCGCGCGCCGGACCCCGGCUUCGGGCCUGGAGGCGGGAUCCCAAGCCUCCUCGGCUCGGCUCGUCUCGCCUCGCCUCGCUUGUCCUUGAGGUUUACUGUGUUUGGCAUCGCAGUUCCGACGCCAGCCGCCGUUUCGCGACCCACGGCGGACUUGCAUAAACACUUUCUAGUUGGAAUCUCACCCUGUGAGGUGGGCAAGGUAGUGAUAUUCCUGUUUGACGCCGACAGAAGUAAGAGAGAUUGACUCUCAGAACCAUGUGGCGGGAUUUUAAAGGAGGAUCUUAACAGUGGCUCCGGACAGACCCGUGUUUUCUGCUCCUAGCAUUAACUACGUCGUUAAACCCUUCUGAAUUUAUUUCGUCUGUGAAAUGGGGAAAAGAUAGCCACCUUGCAUAACUGGUGAAGAAUUCGUAAACUGACAGAAGAAUCUAGUAAGAGGACUGGCCCGUGGUCGGCUCUUAAUGGUGUGUGUGGGGCUAUGAACAUUCCCAGGUCUUCUGACCUCUAGUCUGGGACUCUUUCUGCUAAACUAGGGAUUCUUAGAGGUCCAGAGACUUCGGGAGAUCCAGGGGCAUCUUCAAAGGGGUCCCUGAGUUCUAAACUGCAGAGGAACACUCUUAAGAGAGAUAAUAAAUAUUUCCACCACAUCUGUUAUGGAUAAUAUAUAUUUUGUCAUCUAUUUGCCAGAGACUGUUGUAAGUGCUUAUAUACAUUAAGUCACUUAAUCUUUACAGUGAACACUAAGGUACAUCCUAUUAUAAUUCCCAUUUUACAGAGACGUUAAAUACCUAUCUAGCUAAAAAGUGUGGGAGCUGUUUUACAUUCACGCAAUCUAGCUGAUAAAGCCACACACCUUAAUGUUUGUACUAUAUAUUAUUGUGCAAGAGGUGUAUUUGAUAAUGAUUCUUGUGUCACCAUUUACAAGAUGCCUCUGACUUUUAUUAAACUCUCAAAGGGCAGGAAAAGAAAAAAAAAUACAGAGGAACCUAAACCCUAAAUCAGAGACAGACUACAUGCAGAUAUACAAAUGGAUGAUUAGAAACCAAAGUUGUGGGUACCAUGUUUGCAAUUCCGUUUUAGCUGAGUGCUUUGGACUAUCACGUCCCUCAGUGGCUCCCUGGAGGAAGAAUGAUUGAAUGACAGGAUUGGAAUGGAAUGUAGCCAUCAUCUUAUCUGACCACACAGACACCUCCCAGCAGAUGAAUGCAUCACCUCCUCAUGAUAAUUUUGAAGACUUUCUGAGAAAGUGAUAAUAUUAGCCUAUUACCUCACAACCACAAGGAACACUACAGUGACUACAAACCCUAUGUGCCUCAUUCAACAGGUGUCACAGAAUAAAGAAAAAGACUGGGAGAGAGAUGGGAGCUGAUAGACCAGAGGAGACCAAAGACUGAAACUGAAGACUAAACCAUGGAAAUUGGGAACAAGCACUUACUCGCUUAGAGGGUGAAAAAAGUGAAUUUGCCUACAGGGCCAAUUUGGAAGCACCUCUCCCCGGAAGCCAGUCAAUGAAGAGCCAUUGGAGGAUUUUAAAUAAGGAACCGAAAAAUGGAGUCUGAAAAUAGAGGCGCAGAGACCGGUCAACCACAAUGAAGAACAAGCCAUUUUGACCUCCAUCCUGGCUCAUCUCCUCUGUGUUCUCAUAGCAUCAUAUUAUAGAAUGGAUCACAAACGCCUUUGCAGUUGCCUAUUUCUUUGUCCAUUUCUCCCUCCAGACUGCCUUUGUGAGAAAAACACCCAAAUGCCACAAGUGCAUCCCCAGGGAGCUGCAGGGUGGCAGGAGCUGAGGAUGCAAAAACAUAAUUGCCUUCUAUCUACUCUGAUUUGAGCUUCAUCAAAUCCUUUGGCUCCCAAGGCAUUCUGCAGCAGAUGUGUGCACAAUAUUCCAGCACUAGGACUUGUGUCUGCGGGUACUGCUCGAGGCCCAAGAGUCUGAGGGUCUGCAAAGCCUCCAAGCCCUUCCCCUUCCUCCCAGGCCUCAGGGCCUGUGCUGGCCACCCUCCUAUACAGCCCUUACUUGGCAUUCUUGCUAAGUCCUGUGGGGGCUCCAUCCUUGACUCUUUUCAUUCCACGCUGAUUUCUUCUGGGCUCUGCGCCUCAGGGGAGAACUUGCAAUGCUAGUAAUAAACAAAGAGUACUCAUGAUAAAAAAAUGAAUUUUGCUGCCUUAAGAGAGAACAGCAGAGCUUAAGGGCUUUCGUAGGUUUCUGAACAGCCACCUAUCUUUUCCGGCCGUUGUCCACCCAUGCACCCAUCCAUUCUGUAAAACUGUUUUGUGCUCACUGUGCUCAAAAAGCAGGAAGGUUUUUCCCCAAGGUAGUUCACAGCAGAAUGAAAUACAGACUAGAAACCAGAUAAGCACCAUGAGGCGAUUUGAAGAUAAAAGAUCAUUGUCCUCUACCAUAAACCAUGAGGCCUUAGGGAGACAUGUGUAUACUCACACCCUCCGCCAUGACAAGGCAAUAGCUUAUACAUGGGAUUUCAGCUCCCCCAGAAGAGCUAAAUAAGGGAAACCUACUAAUGCCAGUGUUUGGUCACAUAGAAGGUGCUGAAAAACCCAUGGUGACCAAAAAGGCCAGUGGUUGCCCCACCCUCCAACGCGCACACACACACACACACACACACACACACACACUCUCUUCUCCAAUUUGACCCAGCCAUACUAUUGCACCUCUCUGACACAAUAGGCUGUUUCAUAUACCUUUGCUAUCUUUAUGUUUGUCUUCCAGGGCCUGGUCUGCUUGGUGAGACCUCAGCAGCUUUGGAACCUGCUUUUCUAGAGACCUCUCCAGAAUCUCCUGGCCAGGUUCAACCUCCACCAUUACUGUGCAUUGUCCAAAUCUUCCUUGCACUUAGCACCCUGGUGCAUGUGUGUGUGACCACAGGCCAGCCAGUGAGUGUGCACUUGGAAAUUUCACUCAUCCUUAAAUCCGUGAGGCCCAGAACAAAAACAAUCAGAUGUUCUGAAAAGUAUCAGUGUUAAAUACUGAAGUAUCUUCUUGUUAAAAUAUUCUUCUUGAUCUGUCUCUCAUAUUCAAUCAUUCACUAACUCAAUUUCAGACAUUUAUUGAGCACCUACUAUGUGCCAGACAUUAUGCUCAGCCUACCUGUCAUGGUCUCUUGAAAGAAUCUUCUAAACCUGCAUCUUAAAAUUACCUUUGGGGAUUGUGCUGAUAAUGUGUAUUCAAGUCUUGUGGUGAACAGGAGGAAAAAUAUAUCAUCUUACAUUUGCA